GCGCCUUUAGCUCAGUUGGUAGAGCACUGGACUUUUAAUCCAUUGGUCGUGGGUUCGAGCCCCACAGGGCGCACCG
This 76-nucleotide transfer RNA is filed under the name Glutamicibacter sp. V16R2B1. RNAcentral's name for it is "tRNA-Lys". It matches the Rfam family "tRNA". Rfam says of the family: Transfer RNA (tRNA) molecules are approximately 80 nucleotides in length. Their secondary structure includes four short double-helical elements and three loops (D, anti-codon, and T loops). The record is from RNAcentral. Lineage: Bacteria; Bacillati; Actinomycetota; Actinomycetes; Micrococcales; Micrococcaceae.